Molecule: ribosomal RNA, 254 nt
Filed under: uncultured bacterium
Lineage: Bacteria
Description: partial 16S ribosomal RNA
Rfam family: Bacterial small subunit ribosomal RNA
Source: RNAcentral
UACGAAGGGGGCGAGCGUUGUUCGGAAUUACUGGGCGUAAAGGGCGCGCAGGCGGCCUUAGAAGUCAGAUGUGAAAGCCCCGGGCUCAACCUGGGAAUGGCAUUUGAUACUCUGAGGCUGGAGUACGGGAGAGGAGAGUGGAAUUCCCAGUGUAGAGGUGAAAUUCGUAGAUAUCGCAAGAACACCAGUGGACGGAAGGCGGCUCACUGGCCCGGUACUGACGCUGAGGUGCGAAAGCGUGGGGAGCAAACAGG